UAAUCAAUUGUCUUAUAAUUGAAGACUGGUAUGAAUGGUUAAACGAAAUUAGAGCUGUCUUGUUUAUAUUGAUUAGAAAUUGGCUUUUAAAUGAAGAGAUUUAAAUUUGAUUGAGGGACAAGAAGACCCUAUUGAGCUUUAAAUGAUUUUGAAGGUAAAAAGUUAUUAUUGGAGAUUUAGGUCUUAGAUAUUUUUUAGUUGGGGCGACUGAGGAACAAAUGAAGCUUCCUUUAUGUAAGUGAUUGGUAAGUUUUGAUCCAGUAUAACUGAUUAAGAGAGAUAGUUACCAUAGGGAUAACAGCAUAAUCUUCUUAGAGAGUUCGUAUCAAAAAGGAGGGUUGUGACCUCGAUGUUGGACUAAAAUAUCCUAAAGGGUGUAGAAAGGCUUUUGAGGGUUGGUCUGUUCGACCAUUAAAAUUUUACGUGAUCUGA
Molecule: ribosomal RNA, 432 nt
Filed under: Tchangmargarya yangtsunghaiensis
Lineage: Eukaryota; Metazoa; Mollusca; Gastropoda; Architaenioglossa; Viviparidae
Description: partial 16S ribosomal RNA
Rfam family: Bacterial large subunit ribosomal RNA
Source: RNAcentral